Molecule: ribosomal RNA, 460 nt
Filed under: uncultured bacterium
Lineage: Bacteria
Description: partial 16S ribosomal RNA
Rfam family: Bacterial small subunit ribosomal RNA
Source: RNAcentral
CCUACGGGCGGCAGCAGUGAGGAAUAUUGGUCAAUGGACGAGAGUCUGAACCAGCCAAGUAGCGUGAAGGAUGACUGCCCUAUGGGUUGUAAACUUCUUUUAUAAAGGAAUAAAACGAGGCACGUGUGCCUUUUUGCAUGUACUUUAUGAAUAAGGAUCGGCUAACUCCGGUCCAGCAGCCGCGGUAAUACGGAGGGUCCGAGCGUUAGCCGGAUUUAGUUGGUUUAAAGGGAGCGUAGAUGGGUUGUUAAGUCAGUUGUGAAAGUUUGCGGCUCAACCUUAAAAUUGCAAUUGAUACUGGCAGGCUUGAGUACAGUUGAGGUAGGCGGAAUUCGUGGUGUAGCGGUGAAAUGCUUAGAGAUCACGAAGAACCCCGAUUGCGAAGGCAGCUUACUAAGCUGGCACUGACAUUGAUGCGCGAAAGUGUGGGUAUCAAACAGGAUUAGAUACCCCAGUAGUC